CCUACGGGGGGCAGCAGUGAGGAAUAUUGGUCAAUGGGCGCAAGCCUGAACCAGCCAUCCCGCGUGCAGGAAGAAGGCGCUAUGCGUCGUAAACUGCUUUUCCAGGGGAAGAAAACCUGAUACGUGUAUUGGCUUGCCGGUACCCUGGGAAUAAGCAUCGGCUAACUCCGUGCCAGCAGCCGCGGUAAUACGGAGGAUGCGAGCGUUAUCGGGAUUUAUUGGGUCGAAGGGGGAUUAAUACGGAUGAAUUGAAAACCUUCAGCUUAACUGGAGACUUGCCAUUGAUACUGUUAGUCUUGAGUACGGUCAAGGUAGGCGGAAUGUGUAAUGUAGCGGUGAAAUGCUUAGAUAUUACACAGAACACCGAUUGCGAAGGCAGCUUACUGGGCCAUUACUGACGCUGAUGCACGAAAGCGUGGGGAGCGAACAGGAUUAGAUACCCUGGUAGUC
RNAcentral lists this ribosomal RNA (450 nucleotides) under uncultured bacterium. RNAcentral describes it as "partial 16S ribosomal RNA". It matches the Rfam family "Bacterial small subunit ribosomal RNA", at positions 338 to 795 of the family's 1533-position model. The record is from RNAcentral.